GGAAAAAAACUUUUCGGGUAUUGAGAGCGGCGUACGGGUGCGGAACACGUGUGCAACCUGCCUUUAUCAGGGGGAUAGCCUUUCGAAAGGAAGAUUAAUACCCCAUAAUAUAUUAUUCGGCAUCGGGUGAUAUUGAAAACUACGGUGGAUAGAGAUGGGCACGCGCAAGAUUAGCUAGUUGGUGAGGUAACGGCUCACCAAGGCGACGAUCUUUAGGGGGCCUGAGAGGGUGAUCCCCCACACUGGUACUGAGACACGGACCAGACUCCUACGGGAGGCAGCAGUGAGGAAUAUUGGACAAUGGGUGGAAGCCUGAUCCAGCCAUCCCGCGUGCAGGAAGACGGCCCUAUGGGUUGUAAACUGCUUUUAUCUGGGGAUAAACCUACUUACGUGUAAGUAGCUGAAGGUACCAGAAGAAUAAGCACCGGCUAACUCCGUGCCAGCAGCCGCGGUAAUACGGAGGGUGCAAGCGUUAUCCGGAUUUAUUGGGUUUAAAGGGUCCGUAGGCGGACUGAUAAGUCAGUGGUGAAAUCCGACAGCUUAACUGUCGAACUGCCAUUGAUACUGUUAGUCUUGAGUAAGGUUGAAGUGGCUGGAAUAAGUAGUGUAGCGGUGAAAUGCAUAGAUAUUACUUAGAACACCAAUUGCGGAAGGCAGGUCACUAAGUCUUAACUGACGCUGAUGGACGAAGGCGUGGGGGAGGCGAAACAGGAUUAGAUACCCUGGGUAGUCCACCGCCGUAACGAUGAUUUACUCGUUUUUGGGUUUUUAAUGAUUCACAAACUAAGCCGAAGUGGAUGAGUUAUCCCACCUGGGGAAGUUACGUUUCGGCAGAGAAUUGAAAAC
RNAcentral lists this ribosomal RNA (846 nucleotides) under Elizabethkingia anophelis. RNAcentral's name for it is "bacterial SSU rRNA". It matches the Rfam family "Bacterial small subunit ribosomal RNA", at positions 73 to 900 of the family's 1533-position model. The record is from RNAcentral. Lineage: Bacteria; Pseudomonadati; Bacteroidota; Flavobacteriia; Flavobacteriales; Weeksellaceae.